CGUCAAAGAGUUUGAUUCUGGCUCAGGAUGAACGCUAGCGACAGGCCUAACACAUGCAAGUCGAGGGGCAGCGCGGAGUAGCAAUACUUGGCGGCGACCGGCGCACGGGUGAGUAACACGUAUGACAACCAACCCAUAACGAGGGGGAUAACCCGGAGAAAUCCGGACUAAUACCGCAUAAGACCACGAUAUCGCAUGAUAUAGAGGUCAAAUAUUUAUAGGUUAUGGACGGGCAUGCGUCUGAUUAGCUGGUUGGCGGGUAACGCCCACCAAGGCAUCGAUCAGUAGGGGUUCUGAGAGGAAGGUCCCCCACAUUGGAACUGAGACACGGUCCAAACUCCUACGGGAGGCAGCAGUGAGGAAUAUUGGUCAAUGGGCGAAAGCCUGAACCAGCCAUGUCGCGUGAAAAGGAUGAAGGUCCUAUGGAUUGUAAACUUCUUUUGCAGGAGGGUAAAGUGAGCUACGUGUAGUUCAUUGCAAGUACCCUGCGAAUAAGCAUCGGCUAACUCCGUGCCAGCCGCCGC
Molecule: ribosomal RNA, 524 nt
Filed under: uncultured bacterium
Lineage: Bacteria
Description: bacterial SSU rRNA
Rfam family: Bacterial small subunit ribosomal RNA
Source: RNAcentral